This 2880-nucleotide long non-coding RNA is filed under the name Physcomitrium patens. RNAcentral's name for it is "long non-coding RNA (PPAT_LNC012143)". Lineage: Eukaryota; Viridiplantae; Streptophyta; Bryopsida; Funariales; Funariaceae. The record is from RNAcentral.
CUUAAAAUCAUAGAUUUUGUGAGUUAGUAGUAGAAUUUUUGAAAAAAAUAGAAAAUAAAUUGCUAAUAAGGGAUUUGCAAUCUAUGAUAGAAUUUAUUAAGAUAAAUUUCUACAAUAAAUAGGCUUUUCAUAGCUAACAUUAAAUGAUGGCCAAUAGGAGUAUUCCUUGUAUUCGAUCUUAAGGUUAUUGUUGCAGUGCUGAAAGGGUCUUUAAGUGAGGCAAUAGUAGAUCUAGUAAUGCUAAAAUAUUGAAAGAAGUAUUUAGAAUAGUACACUGGUUUUCAAUAUAAAAUACUAUCUACUUAAUUGUAACCUUAUACCGAGAAUUGUCACUCCUAGUGUUACACUUGUACACAUAAUAUAUUGUGUGAAAAUUUAUCAUAUUAAUAUGUAAGAUGUUUUAAACAUGGUAUGAGAACAAUAGAAAUGUUUGAUCCUUAGAAAGCUUUAAAAAAUACUUUAUCUAAAAAAGAAUUGCUGGAAAUACAAAUCAGAUUGUAAUGACAACAAUAAUACAAUCUAUUGUAAUAGGAAAGGUUGAUGAAGAACUUGAAGUUCUUCAAACCAUGAAAAGAAAUUCUAAACCUAAAAAUAUUAAAAAUUAAAUUAAAUUAAUGAAGAAUGAAUCAAUAAAUAAUUUUAAUUCAACUUCAAAUUAAGAAUAUUGAAGAUUACAUAGAAAGUGGACAUCAAUCAUGUUCCAAAAUUUGAUGGUUCUUAUUUUAAUAUAUAAAAACAUACAUUAGCACUAGUUUUUAAGGUUGAAAAGAUAUGAUCCAUAGUAAGAGGUGAAGAAUGCUCAUCAAUGGAACCAAUGAUAGUUGAAGUUGCUGUUGGAAUCCUAGCAUUAUCUACCAUAAGAGUAAGGAGUAUAAGCACAUGGAUAGAUAAGGAUACCCUGUCUUUUAUUAUAAUCAACAAUUGCCUAAAAAACAACAUUUUUUUAUAUAUACAAUCUUAUACAUCAAAAAAUUCAACAUGACAAGAAGUAGUAAAAAUAUUUGAAUCACAUGAUGUAGUAACUAAGAUGUACAAGAUCAACAAUUCCAGAUGAUGAAGUAAUUCUCACCUUAAUGAGAAGUUUGCCUUUAAGUUAUAGAUCCUUUAUUAGCUCUUUGAGAAGGCAGCCUGGGAUCACAUUACCAUUUUUGAUAAAAAAUUUGAUCUAAGAAGAAAUACUCAUGAAAAAAAUGAAUUUAACAUUUGAUAAUAAUUUAGCCCUAUAUACAGAUAAGUAAUUUUAGAAUAAUGAUAAGAAAUCUUAUUUUAAUAAGAAUUUUAGAAGGAAUCCACAAGGAGAGAGUAGUACCUCCAAGCCACAUGAAAAGAGCAAUUUUGCCAUUGACAAGAAGUGCUUUUUUUGUAAGAAAAUUGGUUAUUUAAUCAAAGAUUGUAGAACAAGAAUAGCAAGUAAAAAUUAUAAUAAUAGAAAAAAAAUAUUUUUCUAAAAUCAAAUAAACUAUAUGUGGCAACAUUUAUAGUUAAAGAAAAUUCAAAUUCAAUAUGGUAUGUAGACUUGAGAGCAACUCAACAUAUUUAUCAUAAGUUAGUAGGAUUUGUCAAAUACAUCAAAAAUGAAGUCAAACAAAUUAUCUACUUAGGAAACAAUACUACAACAUACAUCAUAGAAGGACAUGAUGAUAUAAAUAUCAAACUCAUAAAUAGUGAUGAGAAGAUCAUAUCUGAUAUAUUAUAUAUACCAAAACUUUCUAAGAAUUUAUUCUCUACCAGAUAAUUGGAUAAGACAAGAGGAGAAAUUUGCAUAAGAGUUCAAACAACUACAUUUAUCAAUAAAUUUAGUGACACCAUUGCAAUCUGCAAAAUAAACCUUGAUUUAUAUGAAUUAGGUAUAAUAAUACUUUUAAAUAAGCCUCAAAUUGCAAUUCCAGCAACAACACAAUUCAAUAAAGGUGAUUUGUGGCACCUAAGAAUAAGAUACAUAAAUCAAUAAAGACUCAAAUAAAUACAAACAAUGGUAAAAGGGAUUGACCUCUUUGAUGAAAAGAAAAUUACCUAAUGUCAACCUUGCAUAGAAGGUAAAAAACAUAAGGAGAAGUUUUCUACAUAAGAUACAGAAAGAGCUAUCCAAUCAUUAGAACUUGUAUAUUUUGACAUUUGUGAUCCUAUGCAAGUAAGCACACAUUUAGAAUGUACUUAUUUCAUUAUAUUUAUUCAUGAUAUAAUAAGAUAUUGCUAAGUAUAUUUGAUGAAACAUAAAUCUGAAGCAUUUGAAAAAUUUACCUUAUACAAAAAAUUUGUAGAAAAACAAACAAGUUUCAAAAUCAAAACCUUAAGAUUUGAUCAUGGAGGUGAAUUUAAAUCAAAUGAAUUUAAAGAUUUAAUUAACAAAAAAAGAAUAAAAUAAGAAUAUACUGUAGCUUAUAUACUACAAUAAAAUGAUGUUUUUGAAAGAAAAAUAAAACAUUGAUAGAAGUAGUUCUUCUAAUACUAUCUUAUUCAAAUUUAUCUAAAUGUUUUUGAAAUAAAGUACUCCAAAUUUCCAAUUACCUCCAAAAUAGGAGUCCUACUAAAUCUAUAUAAGAUACCAAAAUACCAUUUAAAUUAUGGUACAAAUACUAAUCAAAUUUAUCUUACCUUAGAAUAUUUGGUUACAAAGCUCAUGUAUUCAUUUCUAAAGAAAUAAAAAAGAAAUUAGACUCUCUUUUAUAAAAAGCUAUUUUUCUAGGCUAUAAUAAAGAAUCUAAAGCCUGUAGACUUGUGAAUAUAAAAAAUCAGAAAAUUUUCAUUUCUAGAGAUGUUUUCUUCAAUGAGAAUUUAUAUGAUCUAAAAACAACAUACUUGCAAAAGAAAAAUGAAGAGCUCUUAUUAGACUUAGAAUUAUUUAAGCAUCCUACAACAACUGUAAGGACCAAUGAACAA